This 255-nucleotide ribosomal RNA is filed under the name uncultured bacterium. RNAcentral describes it as "partial 16S ribosomal RNA". The record is from RNAcentral.
CUGCUGCCUUCCGUAGGAGUCUGGGCCGUGUCUCAGUCCCAAUGUGGCCGUCCGCCCUCUCAGGCCGGCUACUGAUCGUCGCCUUGGUGGGCCGUUACCCCGCCAACUGGCUAAUCAGACGCGGAUCCAUCGUAUACCGCCGGAGCUUUUCACACUGUCCCAUGCGGGACCGUGCGCUUAUGCGGUAUUAGCACCUGUUUCCAGGUGUUAUCCCCCUGUAUACGGCAGGUUAUCCACGCGUUACUCACCCGUCCG